CCUGGCGGCACUAGCGCGGUGGUCCCACCUGACCCCAUGCCGAACUCAGAAGUGAAACGCCGUAGCGCCGAUGGUAGUGUGGGGUCUCCCCAUGUGAGAGUAGGAACUGCCAGGC
Molecule: ribosomal RNA, 115 nt
Filed under: Klebsiella pneumoniae
Lineage: Bacteria; Pseudomonadati; Pseudomonadota; Gammaproteobacteria; Enterobacterales; Enterobacteriaceae
Also listed under: 1 other name
Source: RNAcentral